This 493-nucleotide small RNA is filed under the name Pan troglodytes (chimpanzee). Its description in RNAcentral is "processed transcript". The record is from RNAcentral. Lineage: Eukaryota; Metazoa; Chordata; Mammalia; Primates; Hominidae.
CCAUUUGUGACUAGAAAAUGCUGAGAAAGCACUUGGUGCUACCUGGAUUUAUUAUAUUAUCAGGUAAAUUUGGAAGGCAAAGCCAGCCCUCUGUCACUUCUACAAAUGGCCUCCCCAAGUGGCCUGUGUGUCUUGGUUCGCCUGCCCAAGCUAAUCUGUGGAGGAAAAACACUACCAAGAACGUUAUUGGAUAUUUUGGCAGAUGGCACCAUUUUGAAAGUUGGAGUGGGAUGCUCAGAAGAUGCCAGCAAGCUUCUGCAGGAUUAUGGCCUCGUUGUUAGGGGGUGCCUGGACCUCCGAUACCUAGCCAUGCGGCAGAGAAACAAUUUGCUCUGUAAUGGGCUUAGCCUGAAAUCCCUCGCUGAGACUGUUUUGAACUUUCCCCUUGACAAGUCCCUUCUACUUCGUUGCAGCAACUGGGAUGCUGAGACUCUCACAGAGGACCAGGUAAUUUAUGCUGCCAGGGAUGCCCAGAUUUCAGUGGCUCUCUUUC